GGCCUAACCCUUUUAGGGAGGGAGCCGUCGAAGGUGGGAUAGAUGAUUGGGGUGAAGUCGUAACAAGGUAGCCGUAUCGGAAGGUGCGGCUGGAUCACCUCCUUUCUAAGGAG
This 113-nucleotide ribosomal RNA is filed under the name Fundicoccus ignavus. RNAcentral describes it as "Aerococcaceae bacterium WS4759 partial 16S ribosomal RNA". It matches the Rfam family "Bacterial small subunit ribosomal RNA", at positions 1432 to 1533 of the family's 1533-position model. Lineage: Bacteria; Bacillati; Bacillota; Bacilli; Lactobacillales; Aerococcaceae. The record is from RNAcentral.